GACGAACGCUGGCGGCGUGCCUAAUACAUGCAAGUUGAGCGAUGAAGAUUGGUGCUUGCACCAAUUUGAAGAGCAGCGAACGGGUGAGUAACGCGUGGGGAAUCUGCCUUUGAGCGGGGGACAACAUUUGGAAACGAAUGCUAAUACCGCAUAACAACUUUAAACAUAAGUUUUAAGUUUGAAAGAUGCAAUUGCAUCACUCAAAGAUGAUCCCGCGUUGUAUUAGCUAGUUGGUGAGGUAAAGGCUCACCAAGGCGAUGAUACAUAGCCGACCUGAGAGGGUGAUCGGCCACAUUGGGACUGAGACACGGCCCAAACUCCUACGGGAGGCAGCAGUAGGGAAUCUUCGGCAAUGGACGAAAGUCUGACCGAGCAACGCCGCGUGAGUGAAGAAGGUUUUCGGAUCGUAAAACUCUGUUGGUAGAGAAGAACGUUGGUGAGAGUGGAAAGCUCAUCAAGUGACGGAAACUACCCAGAAAGGGACGGCUAACUACGUG
This 497-nucleotide ribosomal RNA is filed under the name uncultured bacterium. Its description in RNAcentral is "partial 16S ribosomal RNA". It matches the Rfam family "Bacterial small subunit ribosomal RNA", at positions 28 to 507 of the family's 1533-position model. The record is from RNAcentral.